Molecule: ribosomal RNA, 397 nt
Filed under: uncultured bacterium
Lineage: Bacteria
Description: partial 16S ribosomal RNA
Rfam family: Bacterial small subunit ribosomal RNA
Source: RNAcentral
AUACGUAGGGGGCGAGCGUUGUCCGGAAUGAUUGGGCGUAAAGGGCGCGUAGGCGGCGCGGUAAGUCUGGAGUGAAAGUCCUGCUUUCAAGGUGGGAAUUGCUUUGGAUACUGCCGCGCUUGAGUGCAGGAGAGGUUAUCGGAAUUCCCGGUGUAGCGGUGAAAUGCGUAGAGAUCGGGAGGAACACCAGUGGCGAAGGCGGGUAACUGGACUGCAACUGACGCUGAGGCGCGAAAGUGUGGGGAGCAAACAGGAGUAGAUACCCUGGUAGUCCACACUGUAAACGAUGAAUGCUAGGUGUAAGAGGUAUCGACCCCUUUUGUGCCGGAGUCAACACAAUAAGCAUUCCGCCUGGGGAGUACGGCCGCAAGGUUGAAACUCAAAGGAAUUGACGGGG